This 107-nucleotide small nuclear RNA is filed under the name Saimiri boliviensis boliviensis (Bolivian squirrel monkey). Lineage: Eukaryota; Metazoa; Chordata; Mammalia; Primates; Cebidae. The record is from RNAcentral.
GUGAUCAUUUCCACAGCAUAUGUACUAAAAUUGGAACGAUACAGAGAAGAUUAGCACGGCCCCUGCACAAGGAUGACACACAAAUUCGUGAAGCGUUUCCUAUUUUA